Long non-coding RNA from Oncorhynchus keta (chum salmon), 333 nucleotides. RefSeq lists it as uncharacterized. Lineage: Eukaryota; Metazoa; Chordata; Actinopteri; Salmoniformes; Salmonidae. The transcript is spliced from 3 exons. The record is from RefSeq and is a predicted model, not a curated record.
AGAGAGAGGUGGUUAUAGUCACAUCCUAUAGACAUGAGACAGCCACCUGCUGGACUAGAGCCCUAUAGACAGAGAGAGGUGGUUAUAGUCACAUCCUAUAGACAUGAGACAGCCACCUGCUGGACUAGAGCCCUAUAGACAGAGAGAGGUGGUUAUAGUCACAUCCUAUAGACAUGAGACAGCCACCUGCUGGACUAGAGCCCUAUAGACAGAGAGAGGUGGUUAUAGUCACAUCCUAUAGACAUGAGACAGCCACCUGCUGGACUAGAGCCCUAUAGACAGAGAGAGGUGGUUAUAGUCACAUCCUAUAGACAUGAGACAGCCACCUGCUGG